AGAAAAUUCUUCAACCACAUUUACACCUUUCUCAUUUACUCCAAACGCCUUGAGACUCAAUCCUCUGGCAAAAUCCAGUUGUCAGAAAGCUGAUUCUCUUCAAUUCUGGACUGAGAAUUCUUUUGAGACCGCUGAGAACAUGUCCAGCUCCACAAUGCAUUGAUAAUGAAAACCUCAUCUUACUUUUUCACUGAAAGAAACAUCUCAGUCCUUUAAAUUCAGCCAAAAAUUAGAUGAAAUUUACAAUUAACUCUAUGCCUGAAAGCAACCUUAAGCACUGAAAAUAAGUCCCCAUGAAAGAAAGUUUCUCAUUCAUCCAGGAUUACCCUGCCCUGAGGAAAACUGUAGAAGAAACAGGAGAAAAGAAUGAUUAGGGGAUUAGGACUGCUGGCUUUCUCUAUAGAACCUUGUCCUUCUGGGAAGGCUGGAAUUAAACACCUGGGAAUGAUUGAACUUUGCAUGUUCUGCUAGUCCUCAAGGGAGGCUGUUAAAAUGUCACUGUCGUUCAUAAAAGCCAAAGGAAAGAAGAGUACAAAUGAACUACCCUGAAUGGAAACCCUGAAGACUUGCAAGAGCUGCUUGAAAUCAAAUGGAGACUGAAGAAGAUUAAAUGCAUAAAAUAAUAAUUGCUGUUCUCAUUAUCCCAGUCUCUGAAGUGGCAUUACUAAGGCUGCCUCAAAGUAGUAUGGGUGAUGAGAACAGAUCCUAGGAAGAAUUUUAGUUGUCUCAUACAAGAAUACUCAGCAGGUAAUAUCU
Molecule: long non-coding RNA, 756 nt
Organism: Sarcophilus harrisii (Tasmanian devil)
Lineage: Eukaryota; Metazoa; Chordata; Mammalia; Dasyuromorphia; Dasyuridae
Exons: 3
Source: RefSeq, a predicted model, not a curated record